This 2873-nucleotide ribosomal RNA is filed under the name Salmonella enterica subsp. enterica serovar Enteritidis. Its description in RNAcentral is "bacterial LSU rRNA". It matches the Rfam family "Bacterial large subunit ribosomal RNA". The record is from RNAcentral. Lineage: Bacteria; Pseudomonadati; Pseudomonadota; Gammaproteobacteria; Enterobacterales; Enterobacteriaceae.
GGGUUGUGAGGUUAAGCGACUAAGCGUACACGGUGGAUGCCCUGGCAGUCAGAGGCGAUGAAGGGCGUGCUAAUCUGCGAUAAGCGCCGGUAAGGUGAUAUGAACCGUUAUAACCGGCGAUACCCGAAUGGGGAAACCCAGUGUGACUCGUCACACUAUCAUUAACUGAAUCCAUAGGUUAAUGAGGCGAACCGGGGGAACUGAAACAUCUAAGUACCCCGAGGAAAAGAAAUCAACCGAGAUUCCCCCAGUAGCGGCGAGCGAACGGGGAGGAGCCCAGAGCCUGAAUCAGCAUGUGUGUUAGUGGAAGCGUCUGGAAAGGCGCGCGAUACAGGGUGACAGCCCCGUACACAAAAGCGCAUGUGCUGUGAGCUCGAUGAGUAGGGCGGGACACGUGGUAUCCUGUCUGAAUAUGGGGGGACCAUCCUCCAAGGCUAAAUACUCCUGACUGACCGAUAGUGAACCAGUACCGUGAGGGAAAGGCGAAAAGAACCCCGGCGAGGGGAGUGAAAAAGAACCUGAAACCGUGUACGUACAAGCAGUGGGAGCACCCUUUGGGUGUGACUGCGUACCUUUUGUAUAAUGGGUCAGCGACUUAUAUUCUGUAGCAAGGUUAACCGAAUAGGGGAGCCGGAGGGAAACCGAGUCUUAACCGGGCGUUAAGUUGCAGGGUAUAGACCCGAAACCCGGUGAUCUAGCCAUGGGCAGGUUGAAGGUUGGGUAACACUAACUGGAGGACCGAACCGACUAAUGUUGAAAAAUUAGCGGAUGACCUGUGGCUGGGGGUGAAAGGCCAAUCAAACCGGGAGAUAGCUGGUUCUCCCCGAAAGCUAUUUAGGUAGCGCCUCGUGAAUUCAUCUCCGGGGGUAGAGCACUGUUUCGGCUAGGGGGCCAUCCCGGCUUACCAACCCGAUGCAAACUGCGAAUACCGGAGAAUGUUAUCACGGGAGACACACGGCGGGUGCUAACGUCCGUCGUGAAGAGGGAAACAACCCAGACCGCCAGCUAAGGUCCCAAAGUCAUGGUUAAGUGGGAAACGAUGUGGGAAGGCCCAGACAGCCAGGAUGUUGGCUUAGAAGCAGCCAUCAUUUAAAGAAAGCGUAAUAGCUCACUGGUCGAGUCGGCCUGCGCGGAAGAUGUAACGGGGCUAAACCAUGCACCGAAGCUGCGGCAGCGACACUGUGUGUUGUUGGGUAGGGGAGCGUUCUGUAAGCCUGUGAAGGUGUGUCGUGAGGCAUGCUGGAGGUAUCAGAAGUGCGAAUGCUGACAUAAGUAACGAUAAAGCGGGUGAAAAGCCCGCUCGCCGGAAGACCAAGGGUUCCUGUCCAACGUUAAUCGGGGCAGGGUGAGUCGACCCCUAAGGCGAGGCCGAAAGGCGUAGUCGAUGGGAAACGGGUUAAUAUUCCCGUACUUGGUGUUACUGCGAAGGGGGGACGGAGAAGGCUAUGUUGGCCGGGCGACGGUUGUCCCGGUUUAAGNNGACGAGGCACUACGGUGCUGAAGCAACAAAUGCCCUGCUUCCAGGAAAAGCCUCUAAGCAUCAGGUAACAUCAAAUCGUACCCCAAACCGACACAGGUGGUCAGGUAGAGAAUACCAAGGCGCUUGAGAGAACUCGGGUGAAGGAACUAGGCAAAAUGGUGCCGUAACUUCGGGAGAAGGCACGCUGACACGUAGGUGAAGUGAUUUACUCAUGGAGCUGAAGUCAGUCGAAGAUACCAGCUGGCUGCAACUGUUUAUUAAAAACACAGCACUGUGCAAACACGAAAGUGGACGUAUACGGUGUGACGCCUGCCCGGUGCCGGAAGGUUAAUUGAUGGGGUCAGCGCAAGCGAAGCUCCUGAUCGAAGCCCCGGUAAACGGCGGCCGUAACUAUAACGGUCCUAAGGUAGCGAAAUUCCUUGUCGGGUAAGUUCCGACCUGCACGAAUGGCGUAAUGAUGGCCAGGCUGUCUCCACCCGAGACUCAGUGAAAUUGAACUCGCUGUGAAGAUGCAGUGUACCCGCGGCAAGACGGAAAGACCCCGUGAACCUUUACUAUAGCUUGACACUGAACAUUGAGCCUUGAUGUGUAGGAUAGGUGGGAGGCUUUGAAGUGUGGACGCCAGUCUGCAUGGAGCCGACCUUGAAAUACCACCCUUUAAUGUUUGAUGUUCUAACGUGGACCCGUUACCCGGGUUGCGGACAGUGUCUGGUGGGUAGUUUGACUGGGGCGGUCUCCUCCUAAAGAGUAACGGAGGAGCACGAAGGUUGGCUAAUCCUGGUCGGACAUCAGGAGGUUAGUGCAAUGGCAUAAGCCAGCUUGACUGCGAGCGUGACGGCGCGAGCAGGUGCGAAAGCAGGUCAUAGUGAUCCGGUGGUUCUGAAUGGAAGGGCCAUCGCUCAACGGAUAAAAGGUACUCCGGGGAUAACAGGCUGAUACCGCCCAAGAGUUCAUAUCGACGGCGGUGUUUGGCACCUCGAUGUCGGCUCAUCACAUCCUGGGGCUGAAGUAGGUCCCAAGGGUAUGGCUGUUCGCCAUUUAAAGUGGUACGCGAGCUGGGUUUAGAACGUCGUGAGACAGUUCGGUCCCUAUCUGCCGUGGGCGCUGGAGAACUGAGGGGGGCUGCUCCUAGUACGAGAGGACCGGAGUGGACGCAUCACUGGUGUUCGGGUUGUCAUGCCAAUGGCACUGCCCGGUAGCUAAAUGCGGAAGAGAUAAGUGCUGAAAGCAUCUAAGCACGAAACUUGCCCCGAGAUGAGUUCUCCCUGAGACUUAGAGUCUCCUGAAGGAACGUUGAAGACGACGACGUUGAUAGGCCGGGUGUGUAAGCGCAGCGAUGCGUUGAGCUAACCGGUACUAAUGAACCGUGAGGCUUAACCUUACAACGCCGAAG